Molecule: unclassified non-coding RNA, 605 nt
Filed under: Hevea brasiliensis (rubber tree)
Lineage: Eukaryota; Viridiplantae; Streptophyta; Magnoliopsida; Malpighiales; Euphorbiaceae
Source: RNAcentral
UUUUUUUUUUUUUUUUUCUUUUAUGAUUUAGAAGACGCCAAAGGCACAACACAAACCAAUGACUAGGAGACCAGUCAUUGCACAACAGUACACAUAUUUCCAGCAUAAAAAUAAUAAUGCACACACCAGGGUUCUUAGGCUUUAAUGCUGCAAGGAGAAAUAAAACACUAAAAUCACUUUAAGAAAAUGAAAACAAAAAAAUAAUAAUAAAUAGACAAAUUUAUACCACCAUUACAGCUGUCAAAUAGGCAGUGUGAAGAGUAACACGACAAAGAAACCUUACAAAUUAACAUGAUACCCCAUGUGGCAAUGCUGCAUCUCAUGAAUUAAGCACUAACUUGCCAAAGGACGAAAUUGUGGCUAAGGUAAUAGUAUAAGUUAAUAAGAAGAUUUUGCCAAUGACAAGAUACAUCAUACAUGAAGGGAAAGCCACCCACAAACAUUUGCAUGAACGCUUUGUGAGAUUUAUUUAUAGACAAAGCAUUUUCCAGCUGCUUCAUACCAAUAUUUCAGAUUUUGGCACCAUUGCUGUCAAUUUAAAUAUCCAUAUAAUAUUUAUCCAUGGUAAAUUUCGAUUCUUACUUGAUGCAGCAUCAUGGUCAGUG